This 2339-nucleotide long non-coding RNA is filed under the name Salmo salar (Atlantic salmon). RNAcentral describes it as "lncRNA (ENSSSAG00000095312.1)". Lineage: Eukaryota; Metazoa; Chordata; Actinopteri; Salmoniformes; Salmonidae. The record is from RNAcentral.
ACUCCCGACACGUUCAUUAAUAUGAGACAGCUGGAGAUCAAAUUUGAAUAUUUGUCACGCCCUGGCCAUAGAGAGGUUUUUAUUCUCUAUUUUGGUUAGGCCAGGGUGUGACUAGGGUGGGCAUUCUAUGUCCUUUUUUCUAUGUUUUGGUAUUUCUUUGUUUUGGCCGGGUAUGGUUCUCAAUCAGGGACAGCUGUCUAUCGUUGUCUCUGAUUGGGAACCAUACUUAGGUAGCCUUUUCCCACAGGGUUGGUGUGGGUAGUUGUUUUCUGUUUGGUGUGUUCACCUGACAGAGCUGUUGCGUUUUGUUCCACUUUGUUUUUUUUGUUUCAGUGUUCAGUUAUUAAUAAACAUCAUGAACACGUACCACGCUGCGCUUUGAUCUACUCCUUGCAACAACCGUUACAAUAUUGAAACAAUGUUGCAAAUGUCAGAGAGACAGACAGCAAGGUUUAUACAAAUCUCUGAUGUUGAAAAUGAAAUGUUAGUCUAAAAGAAAUAUGAGAUAAUGUCUACAUGCUUUUUAUUGUGGAGAUCAAGUUUAUAAAUUGCCUGGCUGGGCUGAUGAGACAGUGGAUUGAGCAGUCAGAUGGAACAGAGCAAAUAAGCAUUUCAACAUCAUAGAUUUAGCCAGUGGUAACUUCUGGAAUAGACACUGGCUGGAAUGCGCUUUUAACCCACCCAUUGUAAAACAAGGUAAUAAGGAAUGUGUCACCCAGUUCCUAAGUCCCAUCGCUACAGGUCAAUAGCAGAAAAAGAUGGACAGGAUCUCUUAUUGGGCUGUGUCUAAAAACAGUACUAGCUGUCAAAAUCCUUGCUUCCUAUGUCAUUGUUUCCUCAGUUCCCCUCAAAGUGCACUGGCGGAGAGGAGAGGGUCCAAGGUCCUUCCCAUGGUUCUCUUCCUCCAAUGAGAUUCUUUAUAAUUUUUUUUAUUUAUUUCACCUUCAUUUAACCAGGUAGGCCAGUUGAGAACAAGUUCUCAUUUACAACUGCGACCUGGCCAAGAUAAAGCAAAGCUGAAACGACUGUCGUAGAGAGGGGACCAAGAUGCAGCGUGGCACGUGUUCAUGAUUAUUUAUUUGAAUCAAACAAACACUCGAACAAAAAUAACAAAGGGGAAACGAAAGCGCACAGUUCUGUCAGGUACAGAAGCACAAAACAGAAAACAACUACCCACAAACACAGGUGGGAAAAGGCUGCCUAAGUAUGAUUCCUAAUCAGAGACAACGAUAGACAGCUGCCUCUGAUUAGGAACCAUACUCGGCCCAAAACAAAGAAAUACAAAACAUAGAAUGCCCACCCCACACCCUUACCUAACAAAAUAGAGAAAUAAACCGUCUCUCUCAGGUCAGGGCGUGACAGUAACCCCCCCAAAGGUGCGGACUCCCGGCCGCAAACCUGAACCUAUAGGGGAAGGUCCGGGUGGGCAUCUAUUCUUGGCGGAGGCUCUGGUUCGGGGCGUAGCCCCCACUCUGCCCGCUGAUCCCCCCGCUUCUGUGUCGCCGGAGGAACCAGACCGUGGAUCAUCGCCAGAGGCUCUGAACUGCCGACCGCCGCUGAAGACUCUGGACUGCAGGCCGCCGCUGAAGACUCUGGGCUGCAGGCCGCCGCUGAAGAAUAUGGGCUGCCGACCGCCGCUGAAGACUCUGGGCUGCAGACCGCUGCUGAAGACUGGGCUGCAGACCGCCACUGAAGACUCUGGGCUGCAGGCUGUCUCAGGAGGUUCCGGACUGUAGGCUGUCUCAGGAGGUUCCGUACUGUAGGCUGUCUUAGGAGGUUCCGUACUGUAGGCUGUCUUAGGAGGUUCCGUACUGUAGGCCGUCUCAUCAGGUUCUGUACUGGGGACCGUUGCUACAGGCUCCAAGCCAUGGAUCAUCACUGGAGGCUUUGUGCCAUGGAUCAUCACUGGAGGCUCCGGGCCAUGGAUUAUCACUGGAGGCUUCGUGCCAUGGAUCAUCCCUACAGGCUCCGGGCCAUGGAUCAUCCCUACAGGCUUCUUGCCAUGGAUUAUCACUUGAGGCUCCGGGCCAUGGAUUAUCACGGGAGGCUUUGUGCCAUGGAUCAUCCCUACAGGCUCCCGGCCAUGGAUCAUCACUGGAGGCUUCGUGCCAUGGAUGAUCACUGGAGGCUUCGGACCAUGGAUCAUCACUGGAGGCUUCUUACGUGUAGCCGGAACGGGUCUCACCGGACUGAGGAGACGUACUGACAGCCUGGUACGUGGAGCAGGCACAGGGCAUACCAGGCUGAAUAGACUCACUGGAGGGAGAGUGCGAGGAGCAGGCACAGGCUCACCACGAUAAGCACGGGGAGUUGGCUCAGGUCUCAACCCUGACUCCGCC